This is a small nuclear RNA of Pelodiscus sinensis (Chinese soft-shelled turtle), 161 nucleotides long. Its record names the gene U1. It matches the Rfam family "U1 spliceosomal RNA". From Rfam's summary of the family: U1 is a small nuclear RNA (snRNA) component of the spliceosome (involved in pre-mRNA splicing). Its 5' end forms complementary base pairs with the 5' splice junction, thus defining the 5' donor site of an intron. The record is from Ensembl. Lineage: Eukaryota; Metazoa; Chordata; Testudines; Trionychidae.
GCACCUGGCAGUGGUCACUGUCAGCAGACGGGACACUGGGCUGAAUGGACCUUUGGUCUGACCCAAUCUGGCCGUUUUUAUGUUCUAUAAAUUUCCCCAAAUGUGGGAAACUCGCCUGCAUAAUUUGUGGUAGUGGGGGACUGUGUUUGCGCUUUCUGCUG